RNAcentral lists this long non-coding RNA (2805 nucleotides) under Arabidopsis lyrata. RNAcentral describes it as "long non-coding RNA (ALYR_LNC002721)". Lineage: Eukaryota; Viridiplantae; Streptophyta; Magnoliopsida; Brassicales; Brassicaceae. The record is from RNAcentral.
GGUCGCUCUCUUCGACUUCACUCGCAUCCCUAGAAAAGAAAUCACUAAUAUAAGCAUGAAAGGAAUCAAUCACAAGUAAUGAUUUUGGAUUCAAUUGAUUAUACAUCCGUAGGAGAUCUAGGAUUUGAGCAUAAAAAGAACAAACCCACAUAAAUGUGAGUGAAAAUGAGAACAGAGAGUGAGUGAGAUAUGAAAAAGGAGAAACCUUUCUUGAUGAAAAGCGAGAGCAGAGUUAGGAUCGAGACCAGACUAAGAGAGAUAAGUCUCCACAUCUUGGAUGAAUUUGGCGGCAGGAAUUCCUCUUCUCUCAGUCAAAUCGCUACCACUUUCACUCGGAGAAGAGGAAGACAUCUUCAAAUUGGAUUCCGAUUUGGGGAUUUAGGAUUUUAAAAGCUUUGACUUGGUUUCUCGAUUGUUUUCGAAUCUAUCGACUUUGGGACGAGAGAGUGAACCAGCGAGCGACGGACCAAGAGUCGGAAAUACGACGUCCCUGUUACUAUCUCCUUUCGUCCCCGUUACCAAAUACGUGAGCUUCGGAAUCUUCGAUAUUCUGGAUAAGUUCCGAUUUGGAGCUAAACAGAAGGAUGGAUCUGAUGGUUUUCGAGAAGUUAGUGUUAAACCCAAAAGGAACAAGAGGAAAACACUGAAGAUUGAAAUCGCUGGUCGAGAAUAAGAACGAGGAGAAGAAAUGUGAGAUCUUUUCAUGAUUCGAUUUUAAUUCCACGAAUUCAUCAUCUAAUUUUGGCUCCCGUACUUAGAAUUCAAACCCAUAGAUAUUCUUCUCUCUCUCACUAUGGUUGUUUGAAAUUAGAGGAUUUCGUAAAAGAAUCAAAAUUAAAAACAAAUGUGAAUUGGAGAUAUAAUUUCCAAUUAAUUUUUGAACCCAGAAUUGUACAUUUUUUAUUAUCUAUAAAAGUUACAGAUGAAAAUGAAGGCUUAGAGAAGAGAGGAAUGGAUCUGACGAAAUGUCUAAAAGAAAAAGAAAAAUAAUUUAUUUUAAUUAAAAUGGCAUAGUUGUAAAUAAAAUGGUUAGUUGAGGGUUUGGAAGUCACCGAAAUAGUAAUGUACAUUGGCACAUGGGAAUAUUGCCAAUUAUAAAUAGUAUAUGUACUACUUUUCAAAUUAAGUUUGAAAAAUGUACUAAAUUCCAACUUAUCUCUUUUUUUUUCCCGGUUAAAGAUUACUUGUGGGUUUUACUAAAUAAUCAUAUUUAAGUCAACUUUUGACAGAAAAAAAAAAAUUCAUAUUUAAGUUGUUUUCUGUAAAUAUUUUUGCCGGAAAAACUCUUUUAUCUUAAAAUCUAUUAAUGCAAAUUUCUCUCAAUCUGUUAAAAUAUGUCGUGAAAAUUAGACGGAUUACAGUUACAUCAAAACGUAGCAUUUUUCAUAAUUUUUUCUAAUCGACUUCGACUUUACACAUACUUCAAAGAAUUUCACUUUGAUAAAUUAGAGUUCGUCAAUUUUGGUUUUUCACUUUGAAAAUUUUAGAGCUUAGGUGAAUUUCUUCGGGGUUUAUAAUUGGCUAUUAAAAAUAUUUUGUUGUUUUUUGUUUACAGUUCGUGUUGUAAAAGUAUAUAUAUAUGUCGUUUUUCAAUUCUGAAAAAUUUGGGAAUGAAGCAUUUUUUGACAAAGUUUAUUCAAAUGAGACACUUUCAAAGGAAGAGGCUUUUUUCCAACUCUUUUACUGAAUUUGUGACCAAUUUGCCCUUGAAAAAUGAGGAACGAAGAAACCUAGCGUUUAAGUUCUAGCUAAGAUCUGAUGAUCAAGACUAUAUACACAAUUUAUUUACCCAAAAAAGGCAUAGUACCGCCUCUCUCUAUUUUUUCUUACCCUUUUUUCUUUUUUCGAGACGAAGAAGCAGGAGGUUGUUACUCUCCUCUACCAAACUGCCUCUUCCCUUAAUCUCCCCUUUAUCUCCCUCUUCUUUUGGUUAUCUGUUCUUCUCUCUUGUCUUACUAUAGUUUUUUUGGUUUCGUUGGUUUUGAAUCAUAAGGAGUUGGUUUUGUAUGGAUCAAUGGUACAUGUUAUUCGUUGAUGCAUUGCAUAUCUUGAAACUUUUUUUUUUUUUUUGUUAUGGGUUCUUAAUUUUAUCCUUCAGUUUAGAUUUAUUCUUGUUAGAUCUGUUGAAUUUAGUGCCUUCAUUUUUGAAUUGGAUGUAACUUGCAUAGACGAAGAGUGAUUGGACGCAUAAAGCUGGGUUUGUGGUGGUUUUGUAAGAAGAUUGGUUAAUGUUUAUGGCUUUUUUUGAAGCUCCGCUCUGUUAGGCUGCGGUGGCCGCUGUGAGCUCUAGUUAGAAGAGGUAGGAAAGACUAAAUUAGCCAAUUCUGGUAUUGAAUUUCAUAUAUAUUUGUUCAGCUUGUUUGUUAUUAUUUGAUUCUGGUCAUGAUUCGCGAUUUUGCUUGAGAUUAAAUCGAAUAUUUAGUGGAUGCUCUUACGAUUGAUAGUCGUGUUGUUUUAUGAAAUUUUUGAAUGAUGAAUUAAAUUUCUUUGAAAACUGCUAGGGAAGCCCAAGUAGCUAAAAAAACAUGUUAAGAAUGACAGUGAGAAGGAGAAAAAUGCAAAUUCCAUACUUGAUACUUAGGUCAGAGUUGAUUUCAAAAGCUGAGGAAGCUGAUCGGCGACACCGAUCUAUUAGAUCGUCUGCUUAAGUACAUGGUAGGUAAGGUGGCUCCAGUGGCGGAGGUACUGAAGAGGGAGGGGGUCAAUUUAUGAUUUUUUGUUUUUUAAGGUAAGUCUGAUAAUAAUUAUGGAUAUUUUGGUUUAAUUUUUCCAUAAUGACCCCAUGCCAACAAUCAAUUCUUUAGU